This 1016-nucleotide unclassified non-coding RNA is filed under the name Zea mays. RNAcentral's name for it is "misc RNA Zm00001eb115960". The record is from RNAcentral. Lineage: Eukaryota; Viridiplantae; Streptophyta; Magnoliopsida; Poales; Poaceae.
AUCGUCGUCGUCGUCGUCGUUUCUGUGCAGGUCCACGGCGGAGACGUCCUCCCACUUCCUCGUGAUCGCGUGGAACUUGAACGAAGGGAAGCCGAGCUCGCGGGCGCAUUUCGUGAGCCGGCGCCCGAUUCUCUCGACCUGCUCGCCUGGGUAGUGCGCAGGCCUGGGAUCGGUUAUGGCGGUGAACUUCACCACCGGCAGGCCUGCUUGCUGCUUACUACUCGACGUGGACAGCAAGCGGAGCAAGCCCGCCCACUGGAACCCGUAGCGCGUGCCGUAGUCGACGAUGUGCAGGCUGCUCUUAUUGCCCGCCAUGGCCUGCACGAUGGUCAUCGCGGAGAAAAUGAAGGUGACGUUGAGGAAGCAGCAGGCCCUGGUGUAGAGGCUGUAGGCCUUGAGGAAGUCCACAGCCGACGACGGGUGGUGCGCCGACACCGACAUGCGCAGCCGCCAGAUCCAGCUCCCUGUGCCGGCUAUGCGCGCCUCUAUCCCCCUGGCGAAGCAGUGAGCCAUCCGCUGGGCGGCGUCCCCCGUCGCCGACGCGUGCUGCUUGACCUGCGCCAGCACGUUGCGCGCCGCCACGUGGUCGCCGUCUGCCAGCGCCUUCACGCAGGAGGUCAGCAGCGCGCCUAUGUCGACCACAUUGCUGCCCCUCGCGGAUCUGCCGGUCCUCCGGUUCCUCUUGUCAUGCGCGCCGCCGCCGCCGCCGCCGCUGUUGUCCACGGCGACGCGCUCCAUGCUCUUGAUGCAUGUCUCGUAGGCGCGCGACAUCAUUUCGUCGAACAUCUCGCUGCCACGUUUCUCUUCGGGUUCCUCUUCCUUGAACGUCAUCGUCGGCCGGCCCUUGGCGCCGCCCUUGUAGGCCGAGCUGAGCGCGCUUUGUUCGUCGUCGCCAUGGCCCAGGCCUGCUUGUUGCAAGGAACCGUUGGGCCGCUGCCGGCGGCACCCCUCCAUGUUGCUGGUGGUGUUGGUGCCAAGGGAAGAAGGGGAGGAGAGGAUCUGAGCAAACGGCUGCU